GAUGAACGCUGGCGGCGUGCCUAAUACAUGCAAGUCGAGCGAACGGACGAUAAGCUUGCUUUUUUGAUGUUAGCGGCGGACGGGUGAGUAACACGUGGAUCACCUACUUAUAUGUCUGGGAUAAUUACGGAAAACCGGAUCUAAUACCGGAUAAUAUUUUGAACCGCUUGGUUCAUAAGUGAUAGACGGUCUUCCUGUCACUAAUAGCUGGAUCCGCGCUGCAUUAGCUAGUUGGUAAGGUACCGGCUUACCAAGGCAACGAUGCAUAGCCGACCUGAGAGGGUGAUCGGCCACACUGGAACUGAGACACGGUCCAGACUCCUACGGGAGGCAGCAGUAGGGAAUCUUCCGCAAUGGGCGAAAGCCUGACGGAGCAACGCCGCGUGGGUGAUGAAGGUCUUCGGAUCGUAAAGCUCUGUUAUUAGGGAAGAACAGAUGUGGAAUUAACUGUGGACAUCUUGACGGUACCUAAUCAGAAAGCAACGGCUAACUACGUG
This 497-nucleotide ribosomal RNA is filed under the name uncultured bacterium. Its description in RNAcentral is "partial 16S ribosomal RNA". It matches the Rfam family "Bacterial small subunit ribosomal RNA", at positions 28 to 507 of the family's 1533-position model. The record is from RNAcentral.